UUUAUUUUUUGUCUCAGGAAUUACGAAGAAGAGGAACACAGCAACUAAGGAGCACUCCGUUAAGAACACCACAAAACAAUACUGCUUCAGCCCAUUCUGAAAAUAAAAUUUGAUUGCAACGUAUUUCAAGUAUAACAGCAUUAAAAUAAAGCCCAACUGUCUUACUGAGAAGCAAAGUUCAACCAAGAAGAAAGGACUGUCACACAGAUUCCCUGCUGCAUGCUGUUCCUGGCGUGUUGUGCUCUCAGGUGCUAAAACUGAAAAUACAGAGCUAGAAAUGGGAGCUUGUAUUGUUUUUUCCUAAUAAUCUUCAUGAUCACAGAACCCUCUGUGAGUUUAGUGAGCUCUUGCAGAAGGUGUGUACCACUAGCCCCAUGUACUUCUACUACUUUACUUUGACAUGAAAACACAAAGCACUAUUAAAAAACGUUAUUUGAAUCUCA
Falco peregrinus (peregrine falcon) is the source of this 443-nucleotide long non-coding RNA. RefSeq lists it as uncharacterized. Lineage: Eukaryota; Metazoa; Chordata; Aves; Falconiformes; Falconidae. The record is from RefSeq and is a predicted model, not a curated record. The transcript is spliced from 2 exons.